AUGAAGAAGACCAGGAUCCAAAGGUCCUGCCGACGUCCUGCACUGCCCUGCCUCUGCCAUGCAAAUGAUUACAGCCUUCCUACUGACAUCCAGGAAACUAAAUUGGAGAAGCAAGGGGCCCGUGUUAUGUGUGGACACAAGGAACAGCAAAAGAAUGAUAUAAAGCACUCCUGUAGCUCCUACUGCAACAGCCUGGUUAAUUUCAGGUCUCCUUAAAGCUGAAUCUUGCAUCACAAAGGGUACAUUUCCAUGCAAGAACAAAAUGGUGACAAUCUCU
RNAcentral lists this long non-coding RNA (277 nucleotides) under Phasianus colchicus (ring-necked pheasant). Its description in RNAcentral is "lncRNA (ENSPCLG00000013051.1)". The record is from RNAcentral. Lineage: Eukaryota; Metazoa; Chordata; Aves; Galliformes; Phasianidae.